CCCGGGCCUUGUACACACCGCCCGUCACACCAUGGAAGUUGGUUGCACCAGAAGUAGGUAGGCUAACCGCAAGGGGGCCGCUUACCACGGUAGGAUUCGUGACUGGGGUG
RNAcentral lists this ribosomal RNA (110 nucleotides) under uncultured bacterium. Its description in RNAcentral is "partial 16S ribosomal RNA". It matches the Rfam family "Bacterial small subunit ribosomal RNA", at positions 1373 to 1482 of the family's 1533-position model. The record is from RNAcentral.